This 1045-nucleotide long non-coding RNA is filed under the name Nicotiana benthamiana. RNAcentral describes it as "long non-coding RNA (NBEN_LNC009790)". The record is from RNAcentral. Lineage: Eukaryota; Viridiplantae; Streptophyta; Magnoliopsida; Solanales; Solanaceae.
UUGAAGCACUUAUCAAUUAAGUGUCCAGAUUUUUACUGUAUCUACAAAAUAAAGGUCCCGUGGCUUGGUCAAAAUUGACUCUUUGUUGGUCAAAAUUGACUCUCUGUCUAAAAGGUGGAGGAGGAACAGACACUGUGGCCUAUUAAAUCCAACAGGCUGCCUGUUUGUAUGUACAUUGAAAGAGAUAGAGGCUGCAUCAAAGUGAGAAUAAGACUGAACUUGUCUUUGCUUCUCAUCAUUGAGGACCAUAUUAUAGACAUUGUCAAGAGAAGAUCAAAGUGAGAGGAAGACUGAGCUUGUCUUUGCUUCUCAUCAUUGAGGACCAUAUUAUAAACAUUGUCAAGAGAAGGAGGAGGCUGCAUCACCAAAAGAUUACUCCUGACCCCCAUAUAAGCUUCAUUCAGACCCAUUAAAAACUGAAAGACCUUAUUAUCAUCACAUUCCUGAACUAUGCCAUCUUUUGCAGCACAUACACACCUUUGACCAUGAUUAACACACAUAAAAUCAACUUCAUCCCACAGACCUUUUAGCUUGUUGAAAUAAGAAGCUAUAUCUAAGGACCCUUGAGAUGUGUGGGACAACUCUCUUUUCAGUUCAUAGAUUUUGGUCCUGUUUGCAGUGCCAUAUCUGGCCUGGAGUUGGGACCAUAUGCUUUGUGCAGUGUCAGAGUACUGUACAGACUCAACAAUUGCAGGGGAGAUGGAAGCAGUCAACCAAGAAAUCACCAUGUUGUUGCACCUAUCCCACAACCUUUGUUGAGCCACAUUAGUGGCAGGUCGGGAGUCUCUGUGCAGUGUCAGAGUCCUGCACAGAUUCAGCAAUUGCAGGGGAGAGGGAAGCAGUCAACCAAUAAAUCACCAUGUUGUUGAACCUAUCCCACAACCUUUGUUGAGCCACAUUGGUGGUAGGUAGGGAGUAUGUGCCAUCAACAAAACUGAUUUUGUUUUUGGCUGAUAAGGAAACAAUCAUUUUACGUCUCCAACCCCCAUAACCACUACCCGAGAAGGGAGUGGGAACGAGAGAUACCCCAGGGACAUCAGAAGAA